ACGGAGACAACUAAAGCAAAGAACAGAGUCGUAGUUAAACUAGCAUUUCCCCCGAAUCUCAAGUCGAAAAACUCUCAGCCCUGUAUGAAAAGGCCACCUGGCGAAGUUUUCCCAAGUGAAAGAAAAAGCCUCAAAACCCGGCAGUGUCAGUCACUCUAGAAAGCUUUUACCUAAGGGUGGGUACCCCGGCAAAUUAAGAGCAGACAGAGAAGCCUGCUUCCAAAUUCUCCUCGAAAGCUGCUCCCUCUCCAAAGGGUACUAAACGCCUAAACGUGAGGCCACCCCUCCCCCGGCUUAAGUAUGCACAUUCCCCACCUGCUACCGGAGGGUGCAGAGGCGCUCCGACCCUUGGCCCCUAAGCCUGCAGCGACAGUAAGAGCGCUCCGACGCGGGACCAGCUGGGCUGAUCACCCCACUCUGCUCUGGCCCCCUCCUCUCGCUUGCCUUUCUCCUGGCUCGCUUCCUCCGGGCUACUCCAGCGGGGGCCGGACAGGGCUGCGGCCGCUCUCCGCGACGCCCUCACGCCCCACAUGCACACCUCGGCGGGCCCCCACACCUGCGGCGCCACCACAAAGUUCCUGCAAGCCGCGAGCGCUAGGAGCUAGGGAGAGGGGAAGGGAACAUCACAUCACACCCAACCAGGCCAGGAGAACAGACCACAGGCUUCUGCAACAUGGACUUUAGCUGCACACGUGAACACAGUAGGGACUUUUCCACUUAGGGCAGUGAGAACCUACAGAAGAGAGCAGAUAUCUGCCUUCCUGGGAGGCAGAGGAGAGGGGCAGAACUUAGAGAGGGAGAAAUAGCCUGGUAGGAAAACUUUGAACCUGGAAUUACUUGAAUGUUUAUUCAAAAGAAACUGAGAAACCUGAAAACAAAACAAAACAAAACAAAACAAAACAAAAAAACCCACCAGUUCUCUUAUUCCCAUCCUCCCUCAAAAACAAAAAACCAAAAAUGUCUGACAGCUGUGACUUGACGUGUGUGUAUGUGUGUGUUUCCCCCCAAUCCUCAGUGGGAUACAGGUCUGUAGGGGACAAAAUUAUCAGUUAUGGGGGAAAAAAAAGGAUCGCACCAAUUUCACCUAUUUGAGGUACAGUGUAUACAUUUACACCACCUCCUAGAUGAACUUUGUAAUCUUGGGUUAUCUACUUAACUUCUUCGAGCCUCAAUUUCCUCAUCUGCAAAAUGGGGAUAACACUACUUCAUAACAUCCAUGUUGUGUGUAUUAAAUGAAAUGAUGUGCGCAAAAGCACUGGGGAAAGAACACAACACAUAGUUGUGCCCAUUAAUGGCCACAUAAUAUUAUUACUUAGCUUCCAUAAGCUUCAUUUUCUACCUCUGUAAACUGGGGAUCGCAAUAUCCACCUGACAGCAUAGGUAUACAAAUAGUGUUAAUUUUUGUUUCCCCUCUGUUCCCUUCUUAAAAACAUACAGAGGCAGAGUCUAGAUAAGAGCCCAGGCUUUGUUACCAUGCUGCUCAAAGAAGAAUAAACUCACUUAACCGGAAGACUAAACA
Molecule: long non-coding RNA, 1519 nt
Filed under: Felis catus (domestic cat)
Lineage: Eukaryota; Metazoa; Chordata; Mammalia; Carnivora; Felidae
Description: lncRNA (ENSFCAG00000049409.1)
Source: RNAcentral